Notolabrus celidotus (New Zealand spotty) is the source of this 811-nucleotide long non-coding RNA. RefSeq lists it as uncharacterized. The transcript is spliced from 2 exons. The record is from RefSeq and is a predicted model, not a curated record. NCBI's taxonomy places the organism in Eukaryota, Metazoa, Chordata, Actinopteri, Labriformes, Labridae.
GUCUCGACACCUCUGUUUCAUUACCCCCAAUUGUUCCUGUAUUAAGAGGAAAGGAGGGAGAGAGAAAAGAAGAAGGGAUGGGGGCAUGGUAAAGAGAACUGAGACUAACGAGAGAAGCUGUGGAGUGCAGUUAAUUGCACAGGUGAAAGAGAUCAUGAGCUGCAGGUGAUUAGAUUGAGUUUUUGGAGGCGUGGUCCUGUUCCUGAACUUGUGUUAUACUAACUUCAUUAUGUAAAACAUGAAGUCAGAGCUACGGGAAAUCUGCGGUGAGGAAUCUUUAUUGGCCUCUAUGUGUGAGAUCUCUGUGCAUUCUUCCCCCAGUGUUGCCAGUAAGGUGAUUACUGAGUAUCAUUUCCUCUAGCUGUGGAAACCCAUUUUCUGGGUCAGUGGACCCCACCAAAGGACUGAUUGAGUCUUAAAAGGGGCUCCGUCAAGCAUACGUUUGCUCUCCUUGUACCCGAGACAAUGAGCCCAACUGCUGCAAAGCAAAGCAACAACGCCCUCACAACAUUACCGAGAAACGCUGGAACAUCAGAAGAAAAGAGCGCUAGAGUCAACAAGACAACCAUCAAAUAGAGCCUGAGUCUGAUUUACUGUCUUGAUGUUACCGCCAUGGUUUGGACUGGGACUGUUGGUUGUAAAUAAACAGAGGAUUUGGGGUGUGUUGAUAUGUUUUUGCUGGGGUUCCCGCUGACUCAUAGAGGAAAAUCUGUUACAUGGUGAACAAGCUCGACCUGUUUCACAUUAUUUUAAUCAUCAAAUCAGGUAGAUUCAAAUGUCUAAAUAAACGAAUAUAUGUCAUACUUUUGUA